This 253-nucleotide ribosomal RNA is filed under the name uncultured bacterium. Its description in RNAcentral is "partial 16S ribosomal RNA". It matches the Rfam family "Bacterial small subunit ribosomal RNA", at positions 524 to 776 of the family's 1533-position model. The record is from RNAcentral.
UACGGGGGGGGCAAGCGUUGUUCGGAAUUACUGGGCGUAAAGGGCUCGUAGGCGGCCAACUAAGUCGGAUGUGAAAUCCCCAGGCUUAACCUGGGAACUGCAUCCGAUACUGGAUGGCUUGAAUCCGGGAGAGGGAUGCAGAAUUCCAGGUGUAGCGGUGAAAUGCGUAGAUAUCUGGAGGAACACCGAUGGCGAAGGCAGGUCUCUGGGCCGAUACUGACGCUGAGGAGCGAAAGCGUGGGGAGCGAACAGG